AUUUUCAAGAAAUUGAAUUUGAGAUGGUACGUUUCCUGCAGAGGAGCUAUGAGUGAUUACCAUGACAUAUUUUUGAAGUCCUUUGCCUACACAUUAGAGCUUCCAGAUACGAAAAGGCUUCUAAUGCUACUGCACUCAUUCAACAGCAGGAUUUAAGGCGGAGAUUGCACACCGUGCUGAAGACAAGGACAGUUCAACAAAGUGACUUGGCAAUGAGAAGACAGCUCCAUCACUCCAUCACUUGACAUGCAACCAUGGGGACCUGAUUUCAUUCCCAGCAACCAUGUAAAAUCUGGGGUGGUAGCAUACACCUGUAAUCCUAGUAUUGAGGAGACAGAGACAGGAAGUUUCUUGCAGUAUUCUGUCAAGCCAGUCUAGCCAAUUCAGGAGCUCCAGGUUCAAUGAGAGACUUUUUCUCAAAGAACAAGGUGGAGAGAGAGAGAUUGAGAAAAACAUCAAACCUCCUCCUACACAUGCACACACACACACACACACACACACACGACAUACAGACAUAGACAAACAUGCACACACACAAGCAAUUGCAAUAAAUACUUAGCCAAAGUGAUAUAAGACAGCCUU
Long non-coding RNA from Microtus oregoni (creeping vole), 582 nucleotides. RefSeq lists it as uncharacterized. Lineage: Eukaryota; Metazoa; Chordata; Mammalia; Rodentia; Cricetidae. The transcript is spliced from 3 exons. The record is from RefSeq and is a predicted model, not a curated record.